UACGGAGGGUGCAAGCGUUAAUCGGAAUUACUGGGCGUAAAGCGCACGCAGGUGGCUGAGUCAGUCGAUUGUGAAAGCCCUGGGCUUAACCUGGGAAUUGCAGUCGAUACUACUCGGCUCGAGUAUGGGAGAGGGCAGUGGAAUUCCCGGUGUAGCGGUGAAAUGCGUAGAUAUCGGGAGGAACAUCAGUGGCGAAGGCGGCGACCUGGGCCAAUAUUGACGCUGAGGUGCGAAAGCGUGGGGAGCAAACAGG
This 253-nucleotide ribosomal RNA is filed under the name uncultured bacterium. Its description in RNAcentral is "partial 16S ribosomal RNA". It matches the Rfam family "Bacterial small subunit ribosomal RNA", at positions 524 to 776 of the family's 1533-position model. The record is from RNAcentral.